GGAAAGAUAGCUCUAAUAGGUAGAGCGGUAGGUUGAAGCCCUACGCGUUGGAGGUUCGAGUCCUUCUCUUUCCA
Molecule: transfer RNA, 74 nt
Filed under: Eubacterium ruminantium
Lineage: Bacteria; Bacillati; Bacillota; Clostridia; Eubacteriales; Eubacteriaceae
Also listed under: 1 other name
Description: tRNA_Phe_GAA
Rfam family: tRNA
About the family: Transfer RNA (tRNA) molecules are approximately 80 nucleotides in length.
Source: RNAcentral